RNAcentral lists this ribosomal RNA (537 nucleotides) under uncultured incertae sedis 5 bacterium. RNAcentral describes it as "bacterial SSU rRNA". It matches the Rfam family "Bacterial small subunit ribosomal RNA", at positions 97 to 630 of the family's 1533-position model. The record is from RNAcentral.
GGCGAACGGGUGAGUAGCGCAUCGGAACGUGCCCAGUAGUGGGGGAUAGCUCGGCGAAAGCCGGAUUAAUACCGCAUACGACCCAUGGGUGAAAGCGGGGGACCGCANGGCCUCGCGCUAUUGGAGCGGCCGAUGCCCGAUUAGCUAGUUGGUGAGGUAAAGGCUCACCAAGGCAACGAUCGGUAGCUGGUCUGAGAGGACGACCAGCCACACUGGGACUGAGACACGGCCCAGACUCCUACGGGAGGCAGCAGUGGGGAAUUUUGGACAAUGGGGGAAACCCUGAUCCAGCCAUGCCGCGUGCGGGAAGAAGGCCUUCGGGUUGUAAACCGCUUUUGGCAGGAACGAAACGGCGCGCGCUAAUACCGCGCGCUAAUGACGGUACCUGCAGAAUAAGCACCGGCUAACUACGUGCCAGCAGCCGCGGUAAUACGUAGGGUGCAAGCGUUAAUCGGAAUUACUGGGCGUAAAGCGUACGCAGGCGGCUGUGCAAGACAGGUGUGAAAUCCCCGGGCCCAACCUGGGAACUGCACUUGU